AUUAAACGCUGGCGGCAUGCCUUACACAUGCAAGUCGAACGGUAGCGCGGGGCAACCUGGCGACGAGUGGCGAACGGGUGAGUAAAGCAUCGGAACGUGCCCUGGAAUGGGGGAUAACGUAGCGAAAGUUACGCUAAUACCGCAUAUUCUGUGAGCAGGAAGGCAGGGGAUCGCAAGACCUUGCGUUCUGGGAGCGGCCGAUGUCGGAUUAGCUAGUUGGUGGGGUAAAAGCCUACCAAGGCGACGAUCCGUAGCGGGUCUGAGAGGAUGAC
RNAcentral lists this ribosomal RNA (272 nucleotides) under uncultured bacterium. RNAcentral's name for it is "partial 16S ribosomal RNA". It matches the Rfam family "Bacterial small subunit ribosomal RNA", at positions 30 to 304 of the family's 1533-position model. The record is from RNAcentral.